Molecule: ribosomal RNA, 779 nt
Filed under: uncultured bacterium
Lineage: Bacteria
Description: bacterial SSU rRNA
Rfam family: Bacterial small subunit ribosomal RNA
Source: RNAcentral
AGUUUGAUCAUGGCUCAGAACGAACGCUGGCGGCGUGCUUAACACAUGCAAGUCGUACGAGAAACCGGGACUUCGGUUUCGGGAGUAAAGUGGCGCACGGGUGAGUAACGCGUAGGUAAUCUACCCUUGGGUUUGGAAUAACCCGCCGAAAGGCGGACUAAUACCGGAUAAAAUCUUUCGGAGGGAUCUGAAAGAUCAAAGGUGGCCUCUCCAUGGAUGCUACUGCCUGAGGAUGAGCCUGCGUCCCAUUAGCUUGUUGGUAGGGUAAUGGCCUACCAAGGCUACGAUGGGUAGCUGGUCUGAGAGGAUGACCAGUCACACUGGGAACUGGAACACGGUCCAGACUCCUACGGGAGGCAGCAGUGAGGAAUAUUGCGCAAUGGGGGAAACCCUGACGCAGCGACGCCGCGUGGGUGAAGAAGGCCUUCGGGUCGUAAAGCCCUGUCUAGAGGGAAGAAAUUCUCAAUGGAAUAAUAUCCAUUGAGAUUGACGGUACCUCUGGAGGAAGCACCGGCUAACUCCGUGCCAGCAGCCGCGGUAAUACGGAGGGUGCGAGCGUUGUUCGGAAUUACUGGGCGUAAAGCGGGUGUAGGCGGUUUGUUAAGUCAGAUGUGAAAGCCCACGGCUCAACCGUGGAAGUGCAUCUGAAACUGGCUGACUUGAGUACCGGAGAGGGAAGUGGAAUUCCUGGUGUAGGGGUGAAAUCCGUAGAUAUCAGGAGGAACACCGGUGGCGAAGGCGACUUCCUGGACGGAUACUGACGCUGAGAUCCGAAAGCG